This 253-nucleotide ribosomal RNA is filed under the name uncultured bacterium. Its description in RNAcentral is "partial 16S ribosomal RNA". It matches the Rfam family "Bacterial small subunit ribosomal RNA", at positions 524 to 776 of the family's 1533-position model. The record is from RNAcentral.
UACGUAGGGGGCGAGCGUUGUCCGGAUUUACUGGGCGUAAAGGGCGCGCAGGCGGUCUGGUAAGUUUGGAGUGACAGUGCUCGGCUUAACUGAGCAAGGCCUUCGAAAACUGCCAGACUUGAGCACUCAAGAGGGACAUAGAAUUCCGGGUGGAGUGGUGAAAUGCGUAGAUAUCCGGAGGAAUACCAAAGGCGAAGGCAGUGUCCUGGGGAGUGUCUGACGCUCAGGCGCGAAAGCUAGGGGAGCGAACAGG